UGAAAGGUUGACCUGGAUUAUCAAAAUCAAAAGGAUAAUCUCCACUAACUGUAUAACUUGUACCACUUAAUAAUACACCCGAACUUAAACAAUAUGAAUUACUUGACAAAGUUGCAAAAAAUCCAUUCAUUCUAUAAUAAAACUGACUCUGAUCGCUUGUAAAUACUGCUACUGUACCUCCCCAUCCGUAUCUUUUAUCAUUAACUGGAUACAUACUUGCUGAAUGUAGAUGUAUUUCUAGUUCUUCUGGCCAAGAUUUAUAAUUUUUUGGAAUUCUAUCACCAUUUGGUACUCCAGAUUUCUCAUCAAUUCCGGUACUAUUUACAUAAUACAAAUUUUUAUCAUCAAAAUAGUAUCUUUGUUGAAAUUCAUCCCAGAAAUAAGUCCUUCUAUAAGGAUCUGCCAAAGGAACAUUUCUUGUAAUUUUAUAUUUACUAAAGUUAUUUUGUCCAUUACCAAAAGUUAAUUUAUUCACAUUUGAAUACACUAUGCUAUGACAAGGAUAAUAUGGUCCACUUCCUGAAAUAUAAAAGUAAAACCCUCCUGGCCAUCUUAAUUUCUCAACUACCAAGUCAAGAUCCAUCAAUUUUGGCUUAUACGGAAAUGGAAAGUAAGCAUAAGAUCUAGCCCAUCUCUCUUCUGAAGUAUAUCCUGUAGAUUCCACAUCUACUGUUUGUGCUGCAAAAUUUAUCAUCAACUUACAGUGGUAUAAAUCACCAUUCUGAAUUGUUACCAAAGUUUCUUUAUCAUUUUCUGCGUUAAAUUUACCCACAAUCCUAAAAGAUACUCCAGAAUACCAAGGUAGCUUAUUUGAACUAAAUGUAUAUACUAACCCUUCACUGGUAAUAUCUUUCCAUGCUUUUGUCCAACUGAAACUUGGUGG
Molecule: non-coding RNA, 883 nt
Filed under: Cryptosporidium parvum
Lineage: Eukaryota; Apicomplexa; Conoidasida; Eucoccidiorida; Cryptosporidiidae
Source: RNAcentral